GGGACUGUGGCUUAGUGAUAGAGUGCUUGCCUAGCAUGCAUGAAGUCCUGGGUUCGAUUCCUCAAUACCA
This 70-nucleotide transfer RNA is filed under the name Dipodomys ordii (Ord's kangaroo rat). It matches the Rfam family "tRNA". Rfam says of the family: Transfer RNA (tRNA) molecules are approximately 80 nucleotides in length. Their secondary structure includes four short double-helical elements and three loops (D, anti-codon, and T loops). Further hydrogen bonds mediate the characteristic L-shaped molecular structure. tRNAs have two regions of fundamental functional importance: the anti-codon, which is responsible for specific mRNA codon recognition, and the 3' end, to which the tRNAs corresponding amino acid is attached (by aminoacyl-tRNA synthetases). tRNAs cope with the degeneracy of the genetic code in two manners: having more than one tRNA (with a specific anti-codon) for a particular amino acid; and 'wobble' base-pairing, i.e. permitting non-standard base-pairing at the 3rd anti-codon position. The record is from Rfam by way of RNAcentral. Lineage: Eukaryota; Metazoa; Chordata; Mammalia; Rodentia; Heteromyidae.